GUAGGUGGCAAGCGUUGUCCGGAAUUAUUGGGCGUAAAGCGCGCGCAGGCGGUUCUUUACGUCUGAUGUGAAAGCCCACGGCUCAACCGUGGAGGGUCAUUGGAAACUGGAGAACUUGAGUACAGAAGAGGAAAGCGGAAUUCCACGUGUAGCGGUGAAAUGCGUAGAGAUGUGGAGGAACACCAGUGGCGAAGGCGGCUUUCUGGUCUGUAACUGACGCUGAGGCGCGAAAGCGUGGGGGAGCAAACAGGAUUAGAUACCCUGGUAGUCCACGCCGUAAACGAUGAGUGCUAAGUGUUAGGGGGUUUCCGCCCCUUAGUGCUGCAGCUAACGCAUUAAGCACUCCGCCUGGGAGUACGGCCGCAAGGCUG
Molecule: ribosomal RNA, 371 nt
Filed under: uncultured organism
Description: partial 16S ribosomal RNA
Rfam family: Bacterial small subunit ribosomal RNA
Source: RNAcentral